CUCCAGACAGGGCAAAGAUGUGGUCCAUGGAUGCUGUGGAUUGGCCAUGACCAGGCUCUCAGGUGACUCCACUCAUGUGAUUUUCACAGAAAGACUGCUGUCUGACCAGUGAGCAGCACAGGGCACUGUGGGUCAGACUCAGUGUCCGCAUGGUGGAAACCCAAAACUUGCAACCUCCCAAACUCCCCAGGGCUGGGAAGAUGGUGUCUGCGCUCACUGACACAGAUUUAGCAGCUGGAUAUGGUCCCAGCACCCCCACCUUCUUCCAUGUCCUGCCUGCCAGCCUCCCCCUCCAACAGCUCCCAGGUACCAACAGCUGGGAUAUCAGUAUCCCAGAUACUGAUAAAUCCAUGGGGAGAGUUGGGGGCAGGCAGUGGGAGCAACAUAUUUGCAUCCAUAACCCCUCCUCUGUGAAGUCACUGAAGGGGAUAAGAGAGGCCUGGAGAAGCCACUCCAGCUCUGGACGUCAGGAGGGCUGCUUCCACCAUGGCCUGGGCACCUGUUCUCCUGCUGAUAUUCUAUUAUUUCUCAGGUGGUGCCAGUGAGGAAAGUUCUUCCUCAUGAAUAUGAGUAUUUUGGAGCAUGAAACAGCUGAGCCAAUCUGGGGAGGGCAGGCAACCCCUUGUGAUGGUGGCCAGUUUGCUUGAUUGGGAUUGUCACCGACCAUGUGACAAUGGGAUUAUGUUGCAUAUCAUAGAUGCCCUGGACCCUCAAGCGUGCUGGGGAACUCUGGUUAAAGAAUAGAAUUGAUCCCUUUGUUCAUAUUCACUAUGCUGGAUGCCCUGUUGAGUCCCCUGCAGGACGCUAAACCUCUGACUGCGGCAGCCUUCCCCUUUGAUCUGAAGCUGUUAUCAUACACUGUUCUGCUCAGGGGAUUUGUGUGGGGUGUUACUCUUACAUAGCAUCACAAGAAGGGGAUUCUCUGGAGACUAAAUGCAAACUGGAACAUCUCCUGGAGGCUGUCCCCUUGAUUGUUUGGGAAAUAUGAAGAGACUAUGGGUGCUCUGUGUUUAAAAUAAAACCUCAGAG
This 1029-nucleotide long non-coding RNA is filed under the name Rhinopithecus bieti (black snub-nosed monkey). RNAcentral describes it as "lncRNA (ENSRBIG00000045070.1)". Lineage: Eukaryota; Metazoa; Chordata; Mammalia; Primates; Cercopithecidae. The record is from RNAcentral.